RNAcentral lists this ribosomal RNA (504 nucleotides) under uncultured bacterium. Its description in RNAcentral is "bacterial SSU rRNA". It matches the Rfam family "Bacterial small subunit ribosomal RNA", at positions 28 to 516 of the family's 1533-position model. The record is from RNAcentral.
GAUGAACGCUAGCUACAGGCUUAACACAUGCAAGUCGAGGGGAAACGAUAUUGGAAGCUUGCUUCCGAUAGGCGUCGACCGGCGCACGGGUGAGUAACGCGUAUCCAACCUGCCCAUCACUUGGGGAUAACCUUGCGAAAGUAAGACUAAUACCCAAUGACGUCUCUAGAAGACAUCUGAAAGAGAUUAAAGAUUUAUCGGUGAUGGAUGGGGAUGCGUCUGAUUAGCUUGUUGGCGGGGUAACGGCCCACCAAGGCGACGAUCAGUAGGGGUUCUGAGAGGAAGGUCCCCCACAUUGGAACUGAGACACGGUCCAAAACUCCUACGGGAGGCAGCAGUGAGGAAUAUUGGUCAAUGGACGAGAGUCUGAACCAGCCAAGUAGCGUGCAGGAAGACGGCCCUAAUGGGGUUGUAAACUGCUUUUAUAAGGGAAUAAAGUGGUCCACGUGUGGAUUUUUGUAUGUACCAUAUGAAUAAGGAUCGGCUAACUCCGUGCCAGCAGCC